This is a long non-coding RNA of Schistocerca nitens (vagrant locust), 1194 nucleotides long. RefSeq lists it as uncharacterized. The record is from RefSeq and is a predicted model, not a curated record. NCBI's taxonomy places the organism in Eukaryota, Metazoa, Arthropoda, Insecta, Orthoptera, Acrididae. The transcript is spliced from 2 exons.
UAGUUUCUCCACAUUAGCACGAAACCUUCCCGACCCUGCACACGCCAUAGCAGCAACUGUAAGGACGCGCCGGUGAGACUGCCUCACCUCUGUCGAGAAAAGAAGAAAAAAACACUGAAUGGGAAAGCUAGUGCUGGGAAGCAACAAACGAGUGUCGUGCAGCGUUAAGGUCGAAGAUGGCGCCGUUGAUAAAGUUUGGUGUGCUUUUCAGCAGUAAUGGGACACGUUUUCUGCAAUAGGAAUGGAUUAUGUGGUUCCGUCAAUCACUGUUGUCUUACAAAUUGUGGACCUGUGAAUCCUGAAGGGGCAGACGGAGCAACUCGACAAGUUUGUGGUGUGCAGAUUUGAUACGCCAAGUGGCCGUAGUGGAGCUGCAGUCAAUUGUUUUAGCAAAAUGGAGGAUAUGAAGAAGGGUGCACAAGUGGUCUGGUGGUAUGCAGAGACAAAAUCGCCAACCCAAGUUGCAAAGAAACUUUCGUCGAGUUUACAACAAAGCGCCCCCGUCGUUCAAGACUAUAAAGAAGUGGUGUCAUCAGUUUUUGGCUACUGGGAGUGUUGCGAAAGGGCGUUGUGGUGGUGGUGGUGGUGGUGGUGGUGAGCCUGGGAACAGCGAUCAUCAUGUGGAACAAGUGCGGCGGUCAUUCCGAAAGUUAAUGUGUGGUGUGGUUUGAUGAUAAAUAACAUUGUUGGGCUGUUUUUCUUUCAGGAGCAGACUGUGGAUGGAGCCAUCUACCUGGACAUGUUGGAACAAUUUGCCAUGCCACAGAUAACAGACCUGCAGCCAAAUAUGACAGUGCACCACCCCAUUGGAGCCUUGAUGUCUGAAAAUUUUUAAGUGACAUUCCCGUAACGAUGGAUUGGCCGUGGAGGUCCAAUUCCUUGGUCGCCACGUUCGCCCGACAUAACCCCCCUCGAUUUUUUCUUGUGGUGUUGUGUGAAAGACCGGGUACACACUACACCAGUAAAGGACCUGCAAGACUUCAAACAGCGCAUAAGAAUUGUCAUCAACUCCUGUCACAGAACAGAUGCUCCGCAACACAUGGCACGAAAUCAAUUAUAGACUUGAUAUUCUUCGCGCUACCCGUGGCGCCCAUGUUCAAGUGUACUGAACCGUCCACCUGUGUAUGAAAACUUGAUGAGCUGCUGUAUGAUUUCCCUGUAUUGGUUCGUCAAUAAAUUGUGUUUUUACUCUAA